UACAGAGGGCGCGAGCGUUGUCCGGAGUUACUGGGCGUAAAGAGUGCGUAGGCGGUCCUGUAAGUUCGAUGUGAAAUCUCCCGGCUCAACUGGGAGGGUGCGCCGAAGACUGCAGGGCUUGAGUAUGGGAGAGGAAAGCGGAAUUCCUGGUGUAGCGGUGAAAUGCGUAGAUAUCAGGAGGAACACCUGCGGUGUAGACGGCUUUCUAGACCAUAACUGACGCUGAGGCACGAAAGCGUGGGUAGCAAACAGG
RNAcentral lists this ribosomal RNA (253 nucleotides) under uncultured bacterium. Its description in RNAcentral is "partial 16S ribosomal RNA". It matches the Rfam family "Bacterial small subunit ribosomal RNA", at positions 524 to 776 of the family's 1533-position model. The record is from RNAcentral.